CAGCCGUAAACUAUGCGCGUUAGGUGUACUGGUGACCACGAGUCACCGGGGUGCCGAAGGGAAACCGUGAAACGUGCCGCCUGGGAAGUACGGUCGCAAGGCUGAAACUUAAAGGAAUUGGCGGGGGAGCACCGCAACGGGAGGAGCGUGCGGUUUAAUUGGAUUCAACGCCGAAAAACUCACCAGCAGCGACUGUUACAUGAAAGUCAGGUUGAUGACCUUACUAGAUUUUUCAGAGAGGAGGUGCAUGGCGUCAGUGACU
Molecule: ribosomal RNA, 262 nt
Filed under: uncultured archaeon
Lineage: Archaea
Description: partial 16S ribosomal RNA
Rfam family: Archaeal small subunit ribosomal RNA
Source: RNAcentral